UCAGCCUGAUACUUCUGUUGCUGGUAAUUCUUUUGCUUGUGUUUCCCAGUCUAGUCCUCUUGAACAAUGGGUGCUGGACUCAGCUGCUUCUGAUCAUAUCUCUGGUAAUAAAUUCCUUUUGUCAAUUAUUGCGUAUUCACAGUUUCUUCCCAACGUUACAUUAGCUAAUGGGUCUCAAACUAAAGCAAAAAGAGUUGGACAAGCAAAUCCUCUACCCUCUGUCACUCUAGAUUCCGUUCUUUAUGUCCCUGGCUGUCCUUUUAAUCUUGCAUCUAUGAGUCGUUUGACUCGUGCCCUCAAUUGUGGAAUAUACUUUAUUGAUGACUCUUUUAUUAUGCAGGACCUCAGUACGGGACAGACGAUUGGAACAGGACUUGAAUCAGACGGACUCUACUACCUUAACUCCCUAUUGCGGUAUAUAUUUUAUUGAUGACUCGUUUAUUACACAGGACAGCAGUACGGUACAGACGAUUGGAACAAGACUUUAAUCAGACGGACUCAACUACCUUAAUUCACUAACAUCCUCCAAGGCCUGUCUAGUUGCAGAUCCUCCAGACCUACUUCACAGUCGUUUAGGACAUCCUAGCUUGUCCAAGCUUCAGAAGAUGGUNNNN
This 614-nucleotide long non-coding RNA is filed under the name Nicotiana benthamiana. RNAcentral's name for it is "long non-coding RNA (NBEN_LNC018666)". The record is from RNAcentral. Lineage: Eukaryota; Viridiplantae; Streptophyta; Magnoliopsida; Solanales; Solanaceae.